RNAcentral lists this long non-coding RNA (1456 nucleotides) under Sus scrofa (pig). RNAcentral's name for it is "lncRNA (ENSSSCG00070029723.1)". The record is from RNAcentral. Lineage: Eukaryota; Metazoa; Chordata; Mammalia; Artiodactyla; Suidae.
CCAGAAUGCUCCGCGACGGGGGCCGCGAGGUCCAGCCAAUCAGAGGGUCAUAAUGAGGUCGUUUCCGCCUGAGGAAAAAUCUGGGGGCGGGGCUUCCGGCCUUCUUUUCGCUCGCGGCUGUUCUGACUCGUCUGGGUCUCCCUGACUCCGAAACGCUGGCUCUGGGCCGAGCGACUGUCCUGUUAGGUCCGGGAAGAGUCGUUUUCCGCGUGGCGCAGAGGCGGGCCUGAGGUUCGCCACUCGGCACGGGCUUCCCCGCGCCCGGCCUGGGAUGGAGACCGUGGCGCCCGCGACCCCCUCUUCUCCCGCAGCUCCGCCCGCAGAGCUCGAUGGCGGCGGCCGCGCGGAGGACCCGCCUCAGGUCUCCCGUGAGAAGGGCAUUUCCCAGGCAGGACUCCUAGGGCAGAUCCAUCGUUCAUGAAGAGCCACCCCUGUGAAAUGUGUGGCCUCACAGACAAUUGGCACUUGGAUGAGCAGCAGCCAACACAUGACAGGCAGAAACUGCACAGGUAUGUGGCAUGAGAAACAAAUUUAUGUCAGCAUAAACCUUCAUUUUUCAGAAGCAGUGCAUUAGGGAGAAGCCCUUGGUGAGUGACGUACACAGAGCCUCGUCUGUAAACACCAUGUGUCAGGGGAGCCCUUUAUUUUCAGUGUAGUUGGGAACGACUUCUAGGCCAACGUUGAAUUUUUUGAGCAAUAAGCCACCCAUACCAGGGAAAGGUCAAGCAGCAGAGCUGACGGUGGGACAGCCUUUCAGAGGGAAAAACUCCUUUCGGGGAGAAUGCAUGAAAGCCUUUAGCUGCAAACAUACACUUGUUCAGCACCACCUCACUAGAGGAAGCAGUUUUUUUCCUUCAAUUCUUUUUGUUGUUUGUCUUUUUUUAGGGCUGCACCCAAGGCAUAUGGAUGUUCCCAGGCUAGGAGUUGAAUUGUAGCUGUUGCCACUGGCCUACGCCACAGCUACAGAAAGGCCAGAUCCCAGCCAUGUCUGGGACCUGUACCACAGCUCACGGCAAUGCCAGAUCUUUAACCCACUGAGCGAGGCCAGGGAUUGAACCUGUGUCCUCAUGGAUACUAGUCAGAUUUGUUUUCACUGAGCCUUGGUGGGAACUCCGAGGAAGCUACUUUAUGUGCAGUCUAAGUAAGAAAUUAUCUAGUGAAACCUGGGAGUUCCGGUUGUGCCUUACCAGUUAACGAAUCUGACUAGCAUCCAUGAGGACACAGGUUCCAUUCCUGGCCUUGCUCAGUGGGUUAAGGAUCCGGUGUUGCUGUGAGCUGUGGAGUAGGUCGCAGAUGUGGCUUGGAUCUGGCAUUGCUGUGGCUGUGGUAUAGUUGGCAGCUGUAGCUCUGAUUCGACCCCUAGCCUGGGAACCUCCAUAUGCUGCGGGUGCAGCCCUAAAGAGCUAAAAAAAAAAGAAAAGAAAAGAAUAAAAUCAUUUAUUUAGCAAAAGCUGCA